This 435-nucleotide long non-coding RNA is filed under the name Helianthus annuus (common sunflower). RNAcentral describes it as "sRNA HanXRQr2_Chr11g0500851". Lineage: Eukaryota; Viridiplantae; Streptophyta; Magnoliopsida; Asterales; Asteraceae. The record is from RNAcentral.
GUGAAUGAACCACUUGAAAGUAUAUGAUAUCCAAUGUUCUUGGUUUAGAUGGGAAUAGCAUGGCAAAAGGUAUGUUUUUAUUUAUUAUUAUAUUAAAUGUCAAUCUUUUUGUUAUUAUUUGCAUUUGGGCAGUGUUUUAUGAGCUUUGUGCAGUGUUUGUGUAAAUGAGGGUCUGAUAGUACGUGUCUUGGUGGCGCCUUUGUUCGGUCUUAGUUCAAUGGUUGGAUGGCUGAUGAAUCUAGGCGUUGUUUUGCCUAUUUUCUUUAAUGCUUCAAGGUAUAUUCAUUAUGAGGGUGCUAAGGUUUAAACCAAGCGUCUGCUACGUAUUGAAGAGGACCACUUAAGGAAAAAAAUGAGCUAAAAGCUUUACGAAAAGAUUUUGAAGGCCAGUGAGCAACUUUGAAGCUACGGUGUGAAAUAUUAUGAAAAGGCUAC